GAGUUUGAUCGUGGCUCAGGAUGAACGCUGGCGGCGUGCCUAACACAUGCAAGUCGAACGGAGUUUAUGAGGAAGAAGCUUCGGCGGAAUUCUUAUAAACUUAGUGGCGGACGGGUGAGUAACACGUGGAGAACCUGCCUCUUACCGGGGGACAGCAGUUGGAAACGACUGAUAAUACCGCAUAAGCGCACGAGACCGCAUGGUCCUGUGUGAAAAGAUUUAUCGGUAAGAGAUGGCUCCGCGUCUGAUUAGCCAGUUGGCGGGGUAACGGCCCACCAAAGCGACGAUCAGUAGCCGGCCUGAGAGGGUGAACGGCCACAUUGGGACUGAGACACGGCCCAGACUCCUACGGGAGGCAGCAGUGGGGGAUAUUGCACAAUGGAGGAAACUCUGAUGCAGCGACGCCGCGUGAGUGAAGAAGUAUUUCGGUAUGUAAAGCUCUAUCAGCAGGGAAGAAAAACCUCGAAAGAGGGGAUGACGGUACCUGAGUAAGAAAGCCCCGGCUAACUACGUGCCAGCAGCC
RNAcentral lists this ribosomal RNA (523 nucleotides) under uncultured microorganism. RNAcentral's name for it is "bacterial SSU rRNA". It matches the Rfam family "Bacterial small subunit ribosomal RNA", at positions 9 to 516 of the family's 1533-position model. The record is from RNAcentral.